Molecule: ribosomal RNA, 1012 nt
Filed under: uncultured Cupriavidus sp.
Lineage: Bacteria; Pseudomonadati; Pseudomonadota; Betaproteobacteria; Burkholderiales; Burkholderiaceae
Description: bacterial SSU rRNA
Rfam family: Bacterial small subunit ribosomal RNA
Source: RNAcentral
GCUUACACAUGCAGUCCAACGGCACACGGGAGCAUCCUGGUGGCGAGUGGCGAACGGGUGAGUAUACAUCGGAACGUGCCCUGUCGUGGGGGAUAACUAGUCGAAAGAUUAGCUAAUACCGCAUACGACCUGAGGGUGAAAGCGGGGGACCGUAAGGCCUCGCGCGAUAGGAGCGGCCGAUGUCUGAUUAGCUAGUUGGUGGGGUAAAGGCCCACCAAGGCGACGAUCAGUAGCUGGUCUGAGAGGACGAUCAGCCGCUCUGGGAAUGAGACACGGCCCAGACUCCUACGGGAGGCAGCAGUGGGGAAUUUUGGACAAUGGGGGCAACCCUGAUCCAGGGAUGCCGCGUGUGUAAAUAAUGCCUUCGGGUUGUAGAGCAGUUUCGUCCGGAAAGAAAUCCCUUGCCCUAAUACGGCGGGGGGAUGACGGUACCGGAAGAAUAAGCACCGGCUAACUACGUGCCAGCAGCCGCGGUAAUACGUAGGGUGCGAGCGUUAAUCGGAAUUACUGGGCGUAAAGCGUGCGCAGGCGGUUUUGUAAGACAGGCGUGAAAUCCCCGAGCUCAACUUGGGAAUGGCGCUUGUGACUGCAAGGCUAGAGUAUGUCAGAGGGGGGUAGAAUUCCACGUGUAGCAGUGAAAUGCGUAGAGAUGUGGAGGAAUACCGAUGGCGAAGGCAGCCCCCUGGGACGUUACUGACGCUCAUGCACGAAAGCGUGGGGAGCAAACAGGAUUAGAUACCCUGGUAGUCCACGCCCUAAACGAUGUCAACUAGUUGUUGGGGAUUCAUUUCUUCAGUAACGUAGCUAACGCGUGAGGUUGACCGCCUGGGGAGUACGGUCGCAAGAUUAAAACUCAAAGGAAUUGACGGGGACCCGCACAAGCGGUGGAUGAUGUGGAUUAAUUCGAUGCAACGCGAAAAACCUUACCUACCCUUGACAUGCCACUAACGAAGCAGAGAUGCAUCAGGUGCCCGAAAGGGAGAGUGGACACAGGUGCUGCAUGGCUGUCGUC